GCCUGGCUUCAUCAGUACAUAUCUCUCUUUGUCAGAAGAAAUAAUGCUACCCUACAAGAGUUUGCAAGAAGCAGAGGCAACUUUAGGGAGAGAGCUAACGGUUGCUCAGAAACUAUGGUUGAACUACUCAGCUAAUAAACCUGAUUAUAUUCUUCAUUAUCACAACAUCAUGUUUUUGAUCAUCUUUUACUCUAUCAUUCCUCUACCCUACGUCUUCAUUGAGCUAAGUUGCUCCAAGAAAAUGGACAGAUACAAGAUUCAAUCCAAAAUCAAGAAAUCAUUCUGGGACAUGUUCAACUGUUACACAGAUGUCAUGCAGAUUUUUCUUCUUGUUGUUGGCCCUCUGCAGCUCUUUUCUUACCCUACCAUUAAGUGGAUUGGCAUUCGAACUGAUUUGGCAUUGCCUACAGUGUGGGAAAUGUUUUGGCAACUACUGGUGUAUGCGCUGAUAGAGGACUACUUUAAUUAUUGGAUUCAUAGGUGGCUCCAUUCUAAAUGGGGCUACCAGAAAAUCCACCAUGUCCACCAUGAAUACGCUGCUCCAAUAGGAUUGGCAGCACCAUAUGCACACUGGGCUGAGAUUUUAAUCCUUGGAAUUCCUUCAUUUCUUGGUCCUGCAUUAGUUCCUGGACACAUAAUCACCUACUGGCUGUGGUUCAUUUUGAGACAAAUGGAAGCUAUUGAGACACAUAGCGGAUAUGAGAUCCCAUGGAGUCCAACAAAAUAUAUUCCAUUCUAUGGAGGUGCAGAAUACCACGACUAUCAUCAUUAUGCGGGUGGCCAAAGCCAAAGUAAUUUUGCAUCAAUUUUCACAUACUGCGAUUACAUUUAUGGAACUGAUAAGGGUUAUCGAUGCCACAAAUCCAUCCUGAAAAAGGUAUCAAUCGGAAACAUUUCGAUGCUUAUCUUAUUAGGUUUUGAAGUUAUUGUGAGGCAGCUAAGAUAUAUUCAUGGUUUUUCAAUUAUGGAUUAGGCAAAUUCCUCCAAGGGAGAAUGAGAAGCACAGAAAAUUACACAGCAAAAGCAAUUUCACUUGUUCUUAGGCCAUGUCUUGUUUAGGUAUGUUCUGUAAUUUUCUUUAAAAAAAAAAAAGUAAAUAGACUUGUGGGGAUUGAGGGCUUCUGAUUUUGAUCUAAGCUAUGUAUUUUGGAGAUGAUGGGGUGGGCGGGGUUCGGCAUGCAAGCCAGACCUGAAAUAAUGACAUCCGC
This 1208-nucleotide unclassified non-coding RNA is filed under the name Hevea brasiliensis (rubber tree). Lineage: Eukaryota; Viridiplantae; Streptophyta; Magnoliopsida; Malpighiales; Euphorbiaceae. The record is from RNAcentral.